AGCGAACGCUAGCGGCAUGCCUUACACAUGCAAGUCGAACGGCAGCACGGGGGCAACCUUGGUGGCGAGUGGCGAACGGGUGAGUAAAGCAUCGGAACGUGCCCUGGAGUGGGGGGAUAACGUAGCGAAAGUUACGCUAAUACCGCAUAUUCUGUGAGCAGGAACGCAGGGGAUCGCAAGACCUUGCGCUCUGGGAGCGGCCGAUGUCGGAUUAGCUAGUUGGUGGGGUAAAGGCCUACCAAGGCGACGAUCCGUAGCGGGUCUGAGAGGAUGAUCCGCCACACUGGGACUGAGACACGGCCCAGACUCCUACGGGAGGCAGCAGUGGGGAAUUUUGGACAAUGGGCGAAAGCCUGAUCCAGCCAUGCCGCGUGAGUGAAGAAGGCCUUCGGUUGUAAG
This 399-nucleotide ribosomal RNA is filed under the name uncultured bacterium. RNAcentral describes it as "bacterial SSU rRNA". It matches the Rfam family "Bacterial small subunit ribosomal RNA", at positions 30 to 429 of the family's 1533-position model. The record is from RNAcentral.